Molecule: ribosomal RNA, 338 nt
Filed under: uncultured bacterium
Lineage: Bacteria
Description: bacterial SSU rRNA
Rfam family: Bacterial small subunit ribosomal RNA
Source: RNAcentral
GAUGAACGCUAGCGGCAGGCCUAACACAUGCAAGUCGAGGGGUAACAUGGAGUGCUUGCACUUUGAUGACGACCGGCGCACGGGUGCGUUAUUGGACGGCGAGCGGCGGACGGGUGAGUAAUGCCUGGGAAUAUGCCUUAGUGUGGGGGAUAACUAUUGGAAACGAUAGCUAAUACCGCAUAAUGCCUACGGGCCAAAGAGGGGGACCUUCGGGCCUCUCGCGCUAAGAUUAGCCCAGGUGGGAUUAGCUAGUUGGCGGGGUAAAGGCUCACCAAGGCGACGAUCCCUAGCUGGUCUGAGAGGAUGAUCAGCCACACUGGAACUGAGACACGGUCCAG